AAACCGCCCAGAGGUAAACGGGUGGAUCCGCAAAGUCGGCCCGCGGAAUUCAGCGCGGCGCGCAGCCUUGGGCUGCCGCGACCCGGGAUCCCUGGGACCCGGUCGCGGUGCCGGGCAGGGCUCCGCCGCGUGCACUUUCCGCGGGCAGAGAGCCACAACCGGUUCGGCGGGCGGUGACAAGCCCGGUGGGUUGUAGGUGGGGGCGCUCGCGUCCCUACCAGCCUACCGCGGCGAGCCGCCUCCGGACCGAGGGACCGCCGCGCGCCUCUAGGCCACCCUCCCCUCCGGGUGAGUUCGACUGGGAGAGACUGGGCAACCGUGUCUCCCGACCGCUCAUCUGCGAUCGGUGCGGGGCUGGCCGGGCGCGCUCGUCAGGGUUGGUGGCAAGUCUGUCGGCAUUCCACCCGACCCGUCUUGAA
This 419-nucleotide ribosomal RNA is filed under the name Oreohelix haydeni. RNAcentral's name for it is "partial 28S ribosomal RNA". The record is from RNAcentral. Lineage: Eukaryota; Metazoa; Mollusca; Gastropoda; Stylommatophora; Oreohelicidae.